Molecule: small nuclear RNA, 103 nt
Organism: Dromiciops gliroides (monito del monte)
Lineage: Eukaryota; Metazoa; Chordata; Mammalia; Microbiotheria; Microbiotheriidae
Source: RefSeq, a predicted model, not a curated record
UUGCUUUGGCAGCACAUAUACUAAAAUUGGAACAAUACAGAGAAGAUUGGCAUGGCCCCUGCACAAGUAUGACACCCAAAUUUGUGAAGCAUAAAGUAUAACA